GACGAACGCUGGCGGCGUGCUUAACACAUGCAAGUCGAACGGAAAGGCCCUGCUUUUGUGGGGUGCUCGAGUAGCGAACGGGUGAGUAACACGUGAGUAACCUGCCCUUGACUUUGGGAUAACUUCAGGAAACUGGGGCUAAUACCGGAUAGGAGCUCCUGCUGCAUGGUGGGGGUUGGAAAGUUUCGGCGGUUGGGGAUGGACUCGCGGCUUAUCAGCUUGUUGGUGGGGUAGUGGCUUACCAAGGCUUUGACGGGUAGCCGGCCUGAGAGGGUGACCGGCCACAUUGGGACUGAGAUACGGCCCAGACUCCUACGGGAGGCAGCAGUGGGGAAUAUUGCACAAUGGGCGGAAGCCUGAUGCAGCAACGCCGCGUGCGGGAUGAAGGCCUUCGGGUUGUAAACCGCUUUCGCCUGUGACGAAGCGUGAGUGACGGUAAUGGGUAAAGAAGCACCGGCUAACUACGU
Molecule: ribosomal RNA, 467 nt
Filed under: uncultured bacterium
Lineage: Bacteria
Description: partial 16S ribosomal RNA
Rfam family: Bacterial small subunit ribosomal RNA
Source: RNAcentral